UUCAUUCUCCGAGAUGAAGAUGAGGCACCACCAAGAGACACUCUGCAGAGGAGCUCCCAACUUUGGGAAGAACAAGGUUUGGGAUUUUAGCUCUGCUUUCAAUCUUUUUCAGAAUAAGAGGAUACAAACCAAAACAAGACAUAAUAGAGACAUGCAGGAAGUGGAAACGAUACACACCACCAUGUGAACCUAGGAGAGAUCAACAUACAAUUUACAUAAGUCACCGUAAACAAGCUUUGGGUGGAACUGAGGCAAGAAAAGAAUGGCAGUGUGUUGCUGCGACUUCCCUGUGUAUAAAAUAAUUUCUGUGCUCUUGCACAAGCAGAAGACAAGUGACGGAAAGCAACAGGGCACAGGCCCUUGCAAGGGAUGCCCAUGCCCAGUAACCAGGUUGGCCAGUUCAGUGACAGAAGUAUCUGUACGUGAAAAAGAAAAAAUCCAGAAGUUAUACACAGUUCUGAAUGCAAAUGCAUGCAAAAGUGACCUGGGAGAAGAAGUACAGAGCUGGUUUGGAGUGUCUUAGUGAAAAAGAAAGUUCUGUAAUGUGACCAGGCAUUCUAUGGCCAUCUGAAAAAAAGUCAACUGCACCCAGGUCCCAAUUAAGACAGGGAUUUUGGAGAGAAUCUACAAUCAUAGAAUGGUUUGGGUUCGAAGGGGCCUUUAAGAUCAUCUAGUUACAAUAUCCCUGCUAGUUGUAAUUGUUUUGACUUUGGUGAAAAUACUCAUUUGUUCAACAUUGGAAUGAAUGAAAUGAGUCCUACAGUGUUACGCAUACAGAUAAGACAAAUGUUAGUUCAGGUGGGGUAUUAUGCUAUUUUGGGACAGAUGUUCAAAAGCACUGAGGUCAGUGGCACUAAAAUAGAGUUGAAUUUGGCCCUGUUCAUGCAUUUAUACACUCUGCUGCACUAUGUCUUUUCCUUUCCUUCAUUUUUUCAUUCCAGUGUCUCACUUCACAACAAACUGUAUGAGACAAAGCCUCCUCAGGGAACAGCCAGAUAUUUGAAAUUCACAUCACUUUUACCCUUAAGCCUGUCAGAUGAUCAGAUAGCCGAGAAAGUGCUAAUAGCUUAUGCUCUGGUGAAAUAUGUUUUUCUGUACAUGAUUACCUUUGUAUUUUGUUCCCCUUAUCCCUGAUUGUCAGCAUUUUAAUUAAAAGUAGAGGUGUGAGAACAUGGGAAAACCUGUCCGCAGAACAAGGCUGACUUUGAUUUAAGUUAGUGUACUAAGUUUGUAAAUUUGGAACCCAAUUUUCUGCUGCUGUCAUUUGGAGUGGUACCACGGAAGCUGAUGCUGAGCAAUUCCAGCUUUCCUUCAGAGACACCUACAUCUUGGCAAAUAUGGCAGAGGGAGCAUAGUGACAUCAGCCAGUAAGCCUUGGAGAAACCUCCAUGGGUGGUUUAAGCUGCUACUGCUUCUCUGAUUUCAAGCUUAUGUCCUUACAACACUGGAAGACCAUGGGAUGGUUGCUCAGCUUUGCCAGUUGCUCAGCUCCAUCAUGGUCAGUUUUCUGGUGCUUAAAAUCUGUCCCAGUCAGCUCUGUGGCUGGAUCUAACAGAUCUACCUUUUGUCUUCCAGAGACGACUGAUCUGUAAUGAAUAAAAUAAGUAGUCUGCCUAAUUCCUCAGCUGCAGUAUUUUGGUGUACAUUGAAAUCCAGAAGGAGCACAUUGAUUUUCAUUUGGCCAUCCAGGAUAAGUGAAGAUGGGAACCUCCUUAAUAAGCACAACUCAAAUCUCUGCAGCUCGUAAGACAAAUAACCAAAGAAGAAGGCACGCUACCAUGUGGAUAUUCACUCCCCUUUAUUGCAGAGGAAAAACUUCUGCAGAAGGAUGGGAGAAACAACAAAGGGCAGUAACAUUUUCAUCUGUCACUACAAUCCUAGCUAUUUUAUUUGCUGACUUCUGUGGUAUUUCACAUAAGGUUUAAUUAUAUACAGAUUCACAGCCACCUAAUAUAUUGACAACAGCUCUGGCUUUGACAGGGUUGGCCUGUUCAAAGUCACAUUUAGGCACAAUUAUGAUCCAGAAUUAGAUCUCCUCCAUAUUCCCUAAGAGGCCCGAGUGGUAGCAACCACAGAUCUUUGUUGGAUUCACCAUUGUGAAUCUCUCUUCUGGAGAUGAAAAUUUUACACCUGAAUUACACAAAGGCUUUUUGAAAGUAGCUAAGCUCUGUUGAAAUUUUUAGAAUAGAAAUUGUGAAAGAAAAGGAAGUCCCUAUGCUUCUCCUUGCUGUACAGUACUUGAGAUUACUGCUUUACUUUUCUCAAGAAUUUUCUGAUAACAAAAACUGCCUUAUUCAUACCAACACAAAACUAACUCUCCAUUGCAAGGCACAGUGGUACUGUUUUAUCAUAAAUCAGUGAGAAGAUUAGAAUAUAUGAUUAUUUUUUUUUUUCAGGUGGAGACAUAGUGGUAAAAACAACCAAGCCAGGUAACACAAUAAUUUGACAGAAAACCACAAGAUGAAAGGAAGUAAAACAAUAUGAUACAGAUGAAAGGUGAUAAAGCAAAAACAUGACAAGAACUGGGCGUGAAGUAACAGCAUUAGGACACGAGAUAAUAUGAAGUGAUGAAAAAGAAUCAGCCUGAUAUGUUUUCUGAUGAUGCUACAUAGGAAGAUGCAUUAUGAGGAUACGUUACAGUGACAAAACAUACUUUUGGACUACACAACAGACAAUGCAUAAAUGGAAAAAACAGAAAACCACACAGGAGAUAGAACAAAACAUUCUGCUAUUUAUACAUUAAUGAUAUUAUUUCAAUUUUAAGUAGCUGAAACCAAUAGAAGUGUUCAUGUGGAGACAUUAAAUUAAUUGAAGGCAUUCAUUUGAUACAAAUAACCUAAAUGUCUCAUCAAAGACAGCAGCAGCCAGCAGAAAUACUCUGCUCUCCAAGUACCAAUACCACAUUCCAGGGCUGUGUGGUAUAACUAUCAGGGUGACAAGACUGAUGUGUGACUGGGAUUUAGGAGAGUGAGAGAGCAGCCCUUGACCCUUACCUAUGUGAGCAAGAGAAGAUGUGCAGAUGAAAGUUCCAGUCUAUUUUAUUCCACUGUAAUAUAUCAUACUGUUGAGUCCUAUAUAAUAAAGUCGGGUGCCUCUGCUAUGUUUAUGUAUCGCUGUAUUUAAAACAAGGUAAAAUCACUGAAGUUU
This is a long non-coding RNA of Gallus gallus (chicken), 3147 nucleotides long. The record is from Ensembl. Lineage: Eukaryota; Metazoa; Chordata; Aves; Galliformes; Phasianidae.